Long non-coding RNA from Coregonus clupeaformis (lake whitefish), 288 nucleotides. RefSeq lists it as uncharacterized. NCBI's taxonomy places the organism in Eukaryota, Metazoa, Chordata, Actinopteri, Salmoniformes, Salmonidae. The transcript has 3 exons. The record is from RefSeq and is a predicted model, not a curated record.
AUCAACUUCGUUGCACAACACGAAGCACCCAAAGCAAUGACACUGGAGGAAGUCAAAGAAGAAACUCAGAAAGACCAUACCCUACAAAAGCAUGAAACUGUUCUCUGCCACCAGUACAAGGAGAUAAUCAACGGUGUACAAGCAACCCUUCAGCUUCAAUUGUCUGGAACCUGGUGGUGUUGUGGCCAAGGAGCUUUCACUCAGAUGGAACCAGGUUUCAGCUGCUGUGCAAUGUUGACGUCCACAAUUGGCCCAGUGUCGUCUGGGUUAGGGAAGGGUUUGGCCGGG